GUCGUAAAGCUCUGUUGUUAGGGACGAAGGGCGAAGGGUUAAUAGCCCUUAGCCUGACGGUACCUUUCGAGGAAGCCCCGGCUAACUACGUGCCAGCAGCCGCGGUAAUACGUAGGGGGCGAGCGUUGUCCGGAAUUAUUGGGCGUAAAGAGCGUGUAGGCGGCUUGGUAAGUCUGCUGUGAAACCUUGGGGCUCAACCCCAAGCGUGCAGUGGAUACUGUCAAGCUAGAGGAUGGUAGAGGCCAGUGGAAUUCCCGGUGUAGCGGUGAAAUGCGCAGAUAUCGGGAGGAACACCAGUAGCGAAGGCGGCUGGCUGGGCCAUUCCUGACGCUGAGACGCGAAAGCUAGGGGAGCGAACAGGAUUAGAUACCCUGGUAGUCCUAGCCGUAAACGAUGAACACUAGGUGUGGGGGGAGUCGAAUCCCUCCGUGCCGAAGCCAACGCGUUAAGUGUUCCGCCUGGGGAGUACGGCCGCAAGGCUAAAACUCAAAUGAAUUGACGGGG
This 504-nucleotide ribosomal RNA is filed under the name uncultured Rubrobacter sp. RNAcentral's name for it is "bacterial SSU rRNA". It matches the Rfam family "Bacterial small subunit ribosomal RNA", at positions 422 to 918 of the family's 1533-position model. Lineage: Bacteria; Bacillati; Actinomycetota; Rubrobacteria; Rubrobacterales; Rubrobacteraceae. The record is from RNAcentral.